UACAGAGGGUGCGAGCGUUGUUCGGAAUUACUGGGCGUAAAGCGCGCGUAGGCGGCUUUGUAAGUUAGAGGUGAAAGCCCAGGGCUCAACCCUGGAAUUGCCUUUAAGACUGCAUCGCUUGAACAUCGGAGAGGUAAGUGGAAUUCCGAGUGUAGAGGUGAAAUUCGUAGAUAUUCGGAAGAACACCAGUGGCGAAGGCGACUUACUGGACGAUUGUUGACGCUGAGGUGCGAAAGCGUGGGGAGCAAACAAGG
RNAcentral lists this ribosomal RNA (254 nucleotides) under uncultured bacterium. RNAcentral's name for it is "partial 16S ribosomal RNA". It matches the Rfam family "Bacterial small subunit ribosomal RNA", at positions 524 to 777 of the family's 1533-position model. The record is from RNAcentral.